GCUGGGCACAGUGGCUCACACCCAUAGUCCCAGCUACUUGCUAAGGCAGGAGAAUCACUUGAGCCCAGAAGUUCUGGACUGCAGUGUGUUACACCAGUCAGGUGUCUGCACAAGUUCAGCAUCAACAUGGUGAUUUCCCAGGGGCAGGGAACCACCAGGUUGUCUAAGGGAGGAUUGAACUGGCCCAGGUCGGAAAUGGAGAAGGUCAAAACUCCCAUUUGAUCAGUAGUGGGAUCACGUCUGUGAAUAGCUACUGCACUCCAGCCUGGCCUACAUAGUAAGACCCCAUCUCU
RNAcentral lists this signal recognition particle RNA (293 nucleotides) under Carlito syrichta (Philippine tarsier). RNAcentral describes it as "Metazoan signal recognition particle RNA (ENSTSYG00000036537.1)". It matches the Rfam family "Metazoan signal recognition particle RNA". Rfam says of the family: The signal recognition particle (SRP) is a universally conserved ribonucleoprotein. It is involved in the co-translational targeting of proteins to membranes. The eukaryotic SRP consists of a 300-nucleotide 7S RNA and six proteins: SRPs 72, 68, 54, 19, 14, and 9. Lineage: Eukaryota; Metazoa; Chordata; Mammalia; Primates; Tarsiidae. The record is from RNAcentral.